RNAcentral lists this ribosomal RNA (405 nucleotides) under uncultured bacterium. Its description in RNAcentral is "bacterial SSU rRNA". It matches the Rfam family "Bacterial small subunit ribosomal RNA", at positions 355 to 775 of the family's 1533-position model. The record is from RNAcentral.
UGAGGAAUCUUCCACAAUGGGCGAAAGCCUGAUGGAGCAACGCCGCGUGAAGGAUGAAGGCCUUCGGGUUGUAAACUUCUUUUAUGAGUGAAGAAUAUGACGGUAACUCAUGAAUAAGCACCGGCUAACUACGUGCCAGCAGCCGCGGUCAUACGUAGGGUGCAAGCAUUAUCCGGAGUGACUGGGCGUAAAGAGUUGCGUAGGCGGUUUAGUAAGUGAAUAGUGAAACCUGGUGGCUCAACCAUACAGACUAUUAUUCAAACUGCUAAACUCGAGAGUGGUAGAGGUCACUGGAAUUUCUUGUGUAGGAGUGAAAUCCGUAGAUAUAAGAAGGAACACCGAUGGCGUAGGCAGGUGACUGGACCAUUUCUGACGCUAAGGCACGAAAGCGUGGGGAGCGAACCG